Molecule: ribosomal RNA, 460 nt
Filed under: uncultured bacterium
Lineage: Bacteria
Description: partial 16S ribosomal RNA
Rfam family: Bacterial small subunit ribosomal RNA
Source: RNAcentral
CCUACGGGAGGCAGCAGUGAGGAAUAUUGGUCAAUGGGCGGGAGCCUGAACCAGCCAAGUCGCGUGAGGGAAGACGGUCCUAUGGAUUGUAAACCUCUUUAGGCGGGGAGCAAUGCCGGGCACGUGUGCCCGGAGGGAGAGUACCCGCAGAAUAAGCAUCGGCUAACUCCGUGCCAGCAGCCGCGGUAAGACGGAGGAUGCGAGCGUUAUCCGGAUUUAUUGGGUUUAAAGGGUGCGUAGGCGGAGUUUUAAGUCAGCGGUAAAAUGUCCGGGCUGAACCCGGGCCGGCCGUUGAAACUGGGGAGCUUGAGUGGGCGAGAAGUAUGCGGAAUGCGUGGUGUAGCGGUGAAAUGCAUAGAUAGCACGCAGAACUCCGAUUGCGAAGGCAGCAUACCGGCGCCCGACUGACGCUGAGGCACGAAAGCGUGGGGAUCGAACAGGAUUAGAUACCCCUGUAGUC